RNAcentral lists this non-coding RNA (47 nucleotides) under Schistosoma margrebowiei. The record is from RNAcentral. Lineage: Eukaryota; Metazoa; Platyhelminthes; Trematoda; Strigeidida; Schistosomatidae.
AUCAACUGAUGUGUUCUAGAUAGGACGAAAUGCGCAUCAAACUGGAU